This 206-nucleotide ribosomal RNA is filed under the name uncultured bacterium. RNAcentral describes it as "partial 16S ribosomal RNA". It matches the Rfam family "Bacterial small subunit ribosomal RNA", at positions 130 to 334 of the family's 1533-position model. The record is from RNAcentral.
CUUUCCGUCCGGGAUAACUAGCCGAAAGGUUAGCUAAUACCAGAUACGCUCACCGUGCGGCAUCGCACAGUGAUGAAAGCAGCAAUGCGCGGAUUGAGGAGGCUGCGGCCCAUUAGCUAGUUGGUGAGGUAAUGGCCCACCAAGGCGACGAUGGGUAGCUGGUCUGAGAGGACGACCAGCCACACUGGGACUGAGACACGGCCCAG